GGGAGUGUGGAGCUGGUGUAAUUACUGUCCUUAGAGAACACGAAUUAUAAAUGGUCUCCUUUCUAGAGGUUAAGAGGGAUAAGAUCUACUUACUACUAAAGAAGUUGUUACUUGCUUCAAAACGGUACUGAAUGUUAAAAAAUAAGAAUGGAAAGCUGUUCCUCUGUAAAAGACCUUAGUAUGAAUGAGAGAUAAUGGUUUAAGACCUGACUGGAUGUUGACUGGGUCAGGAUCUAAUGAUCAACACCAAAGCACAGAAUUACAAGUACUUAAAUACUUGCAAUGUAAAGUAAAACUUAUCCUGGCACUUGGCAACCUACUAUUUUGAGCCAGUGCUUGCCAACUUGGGACAAUGUGACAGCUGCAGUGGUUACCAAUAGUAGGGAAAUAACUUGAAAUAGCCAGGACCCUGAAAACUGCUGAGACAGUCACCAAGGGCGAACUGUUUUUCAUAAGAUGUGAUACUAGUAAUAUGCUGUUAGAUAGUUUCUAUUUUGGAAGCUCAAGUAAGUAACUAUAAACCUUAACACUUAAUGUAAUAAUUUAGAUUUAAAAUAUUUAAAUACAUGAUGACUGAGCCUCUGUGAUACAAGUCCAUCUUCUGUCUUAAACAUCUUAGAGAAUGAGGAAGAAUUGGCUAUAUAUAGUUUCUGGUUUGCAUACUGAUUUUUGGAGGGUUAUCAAAAUUCUCCACAGAGGAAGAGAUUCUCUAUCCUCUAGUCCAACAAGUAUCUAGGAAGCCUGAUGACGUCUUCCAUUCAGUUAAACCAGGGUAGGAUUGCCAGAUAAAAUACGGGACACUCAGUUAAAUCUGUGUUUCAAAUAAACAAUGUUUUUCUAAGCAUGUCCAAAAUAUAGCAUGGGUCGCAAUUACACUAAACAAUUAUUUGUUAUUUACCUGAAAUUUAAAUUAAACUAGGCACCUUGUUUUGUUUUUGAUUUUUUUUUUUUUUUUUUUUUUGGUCUUCUGUUAAAUCCGGAAACUCUAAACCAAGGGAGCUUAUGGAGUUACCCAAUGGAAUUCGUGGAUGAUGCUAAAAUGGAAGAUCCAUUCUUGGUGUAGAUCUGCACUGCCUCGUACAGUAGCUACUAGCUACAUGUGGCUAUUGAGCACUUGAAAUGUGCCUAGUUCAACACAAAAUUUUCUACAAGAAAGAUCAGUUCCAUGAUGCCUGGGAUGGACUGAGUCUUGGAUUAAAGGCUGAGACAACCUUGGUCCUGGAGAUGCAAUUUAUGGAGGCCUUUGAGUGAUUGCUGUAUUGCUGCUAAAGAGGGCCCAAAACUUGGAUAUUGUUUAAAGCCAAAUCAAUAUCCUCUUCAAUGUGAUCUUCAAGCGUGAAAUAGGACACGGGCUUUCACUUAUUUUAUACAAGUAGUACCGGUUUUCUAGGACUUGCUUACCUGGUGACCAAAACCAUGUACUGACAAUAUGACAGGUUGGUGGUACUGGUGACUACUGAGACUAAAACAAACAAUACGUGACUCAAACAGAAUCAAAUUUUUGCCUAUCAGUACCAUGCUCCUUAAGCAAAGGAAGUAUAGUAACUCUACGCCCUCCUUAUAAAGGACCACUGGAAAAUUAUAUAUCUCUUCAGACUUCUUUCUCUGAUUCAGUUUGUUAAUCCCUAUGGCAAAGGACUUAUAUAUUAGAUUGUAAAUAAAUUCUGGAAGAUGACCCAGAAAGACCACUUAGGAAAAGUCACAAGACUUCCCUGCAUAAUAUAAGGUAGAAUAGAAUGUAGAGCUAUGGCAAAUAAGAACAGCAAACUUCUUUAAACAUUGCUACCAAUCAGCAGUUCAUUACAUUGUAAACAGCCCAUACAGAACAGUUUAUAAAGAAUUUUGCAUGAAACAGAUGCUUAGAUUAGAAGACCUAUAAAUUAUGUGGCUGUUAUAAACUUUACUCAAAGUGGAACAAUCAAUAUACCUUGAUAAGGCUGAUAAGACUUUAGAUAAAUUAUGACUCAUCACUAAAAUUAUACUUUAAGUACUAUCAUCACAAAUAUAUACAUUAUUUAAACAUGAAGGUCAAGGGGAAAGGUGUGGUAAGAGUAACUGAAUUUCCAGCGCUAUGCUGUGUACUUCCAAAUCAUCUCAUUUAACUGGUAAAUUUUCCUGUGAUGUUAACAUUACUAUGUGAGUUGAGAAAACAGUAAAUAAUAGCCGUUAAGUGACUCUAUUAUAAAGUCAGCAUACAAAUCCUCAUGUGCUUGAAUAUACCAGUUUGUGAAACGUGGUAAUGGCCAACAGCUAAAUUCAGAAAAAAAUUCAAUACAGUUAGAGUUUCCAAAGUUGGCUACAACAGUAUGUCCCAUCCCAUUUUCUCUUUUAUAGUGUGAUUUCCUGUGCCAAGAAAUAAAACCAAUUUGCCCUCCUCUUGAUAUGGGCUGGUCUUGUGAUCUGCUUUGACCAACAGAAUGGGCACAGUGAUUCUGGGUCAUUCAUGAAUCUGGGCCUUCAAAGAGCUACAGCUUCUGCCUUUGCCUUUUGGAACAUUUUUUCUUGGAAUCUGGCUAUCCUGAUGCGAGGGAGCCAAUUAACAUCAGAGAGAGGCACCCUUAGCGAGAACUAAGGGCCAGGGGCCAGCAACCUGCAUCCAUUGCCAGUCAUGUGAGGAGGCCUUUUGAGUCUGCCCUGCCUUCCUAGCACUACAAGGAAAGCCACACAAGGCAGAAGAUUCACCCAGUCAACCCUUAAAAUGAUGAGAAGUAGUAAAUUACUGUUGUUUAAGCCACUAAACCUUAGAGUGGUUUGUUAUGAAGCAACUGAUAAGUAAAACACUAUUUCCCUUAGAAAUGUAUUUCAACAAUACCAGUGUCAGCACUUAAAUGGCCAAUAAAAACCAGAAUAUA
Molecule: long non-coding RNA, 2852 nt
Organism: Felis catus (domestic cat)
Lineage: Eukaryota; Metazoa; Chordata; Mammalia; Carnivora; Felidae
Exons: 3
Source: RefSeq, a predicted model, not a curated record